UGGGGAAUAUUGCACAAUGGGCGCAAGCCUGAUGCAGCCAUGCCGCGUGUGUGAGGAAGGCCUUCGGGUUGUAAAGCACUUUCAGCGAGGAGGAAGGUGGUGGACUUAAUACGUUCAUCAAUUGACGUUACUCGCAGAAGAAGCACCGGCUAACUCCGUGCCAGCAGCCGCGGUAAUACGGAGGGUGCAAGCGUUAAUCGGAAUUACUGGGCGUAAAGUGCACGCAGGCGGUUUGUUAAGUCAGAUGUGAAAUCCCCGGGCUCAACCUGGGAACUGCAUUUGAAACUGGCAAGCUAGAGUCUCGUAGAGGGGGGUAGAAUUCCAGGUGUAGCGGUGAAAUGCGUAGAGAUCUGGAGGAAUACCGGUGGCGAAGGCGGCCCCCCUGGACGAAGACUGACGCUCAGGUGCGAAAGCGUGGGGCAGCAAACAGGAUUAGAUACCCUGGUAGUCCAGCGCUGUAAACGAUGUCGAUUUGGAGGUUGUGCCCUUGAGGCGUGGCUUCCGGAGCUAACGCGUUAAAUCGACCGCCUGGGGAGUACGGCCGCAAGGUUAAAAACUCAAAUGAAUUGACGGGGUC
This 577-nucleotide ribosomal RNA is filed under the name uncultured bacterium. RNAcentral describes it as "partial 16S ribosomal RNA". It matches the Rfam family "Bacterial small subunit ribosomal RNA", at positions 355 to 920 of the family's 1533-position model. The record is from RNAcentral.